This 464-nucleotide ribosomal RNA is filed under the name uncultured bacterium. Its description in RNAcentral is "bacterial SSU rRNA". It matches the Rfam family "Bacterial small subunit ribosomal RNA", at positions 29 to 507 of the family's 1533-position model. The record is from RNAcentral.
AACGAACGCUGGCGGCAGGCUUAACACAUGCAAGUCGAACGCCCGUAGCAAUACGGGAGUGGCGGACGGGUGAGUAACGCGUGGGAACGUACCCUGAGGUACGGAAUAACCGAGGGAAACUUCGGCUAAUACCGUAUGAGCCCCGCAAGGGGGAAAGAUUUAUCGCCUUGGGAGCGGCCCGCGUCGGAUUAGCUAGUUGGUGGGGUAACGGCCUACCAAGGCUUCGAUCCGUAGCUGGUCUGAGAGGACGAUCAGCCACACUGGGACUGAGACACGGCCCAGACUCCUACGGGAGGCAGCAGUGGGGAAUCUUGCGCAAUGGGGGCAACCCUGACGCAGCCAUGCCGCGUGAACGAUGAAGGCCUUAGGGUUGUAAAGUUCUUUUAUAUGUGAGCAGUGCUUCUUAUAUUAACAGUAUGGGGAGAGAGAUAUUAGCAUAUGAAUAAGCAACGGCUAACUCCGUG